AGCUUUGCGCAGUGGCAGUAUUGUAGCCAAUGAGGUUUAUCCAAGGCAUGAUUAUUGUUAAUUGAAAGCUUUUCCCAAUCUCCGCCAUGAUGACUUGCAAUAUAGUCAGCAUUGGCAGUUUUUAACAAAAAUAUUAUUU
Sapajus apella (tufted capuchin) is the source of this 139-nucleotide small nuclear RNA. RefSeq annotates it as U4 spliceosomal RNA. The record is from RefSeq and is a predicted model, not a curated record. NCBI's taxonomy places the organism in Eukaryota, Metazoa, Chordata, Mammalia, Primates, Cebidae. The transcript has a single exon.